AACUGUGUUAUAUUUUAGCAUCUUCAAAGUAGUCACCCUUUGCCUAGAAUUUGCAGACAUGUACUCUUGACAUUUUCUCAACCAACUUCUUGAGGUAUCACCCUGGGAUGCUUUUUAAACAGUAUUGAAGGAGUUCCCAUCUAUGUUGGGCACUUCUAAGUGCCCAACAAAGUUUCAAAAAAGUUUUUUUUUAAUUAUUACAUUUUAGUUUUAUAAUGAAAUAAAUUAUUUUAUAUAUAAUUAUUAAUUAUAUUUUUGUCUACAAAACUAAUUUCAAACAUUUAAGCAUACGCCUUCAGAUCAAAAGAUUUUUAAGAUCAUGAGAAACAUUUCAGUCAAGUGUUUCAAAACUUUUGACCGGUAGUGUUUAGAUAUAAUAUAGGCCAGCGUACGGAAAGCUAAUGGUUAAUACAGUGAGCGGUGGUCCAAACCUCCCAAGUCUCCAUGGCAACAAGAAUCGAGCUACUUCAGAUGGAGAUGAGUCCUGUUCCGCUGUCAGACGCUGAGACAUUCCGCAUGCAGGACAUGGAAUCUGUCUGUCAGGCACCUGUCAUCAGACAUUUUGAAGGCUUACAGCUCAGAGAAUGACACAUCAUCGAGGAACGUCACUGAGUAGACAAAUGGACUGAAAAGGUUUUCAAGAUUUUGCAGUGAAACAAUAUUAAAUGUCAGCAAACAGACAUUUGAGGCAAGCGAUACGGUUGAAUGAUUAUGAAGAAAACUGCCACCUCUGUCUGUGCGUUCUCCAUAUUGGGGGAACAUUUGUACACCCAUUUCCCUUAUUUUGCUAAUAAAAAGCAUUUUCUUCCUGA
Molecule: long non-coding RNA, 812 nt
Organism: Myxocyprinus asiaticus (Chinese sucker)
Lineage: Eukaryota; Metazoa; Chordata; Actinopteri; Cypriniformes; Catostomidae
Exons: 2
Source: RefSeq, a predicted model, not a curated record